GGGAACAGCUGAGGAGCAGAGAGUUGACCCUAAUGACUUAUCCUUUCACCUGUGGUUGUGCAUGCUACUAUGUUUGAAGGAGUUACCAGAGUAUUUGGAGCUAUACUGUAAUCCAGACUGUUCUUGGGGGAUAUCCACCACUACUGGACCCUAGCAAGCAGCUUCUGCCCAGAUUCUUAAGAGACUUUCAUUUGGACCUGUUACUUUGGAAGAGGUUUGGAUUUUAUGUGACUUGGCUGGAGCCAUGCAAGAGGCAGAUUGCCAGCCAGAGGCACCAGGGACGAGAACCUCUUGCCUGAGUACGCCACAUUGCACUGCUGUGAAGAGGUGAAAUAGCUGAUAUUUUCCAGUAGGUGUCCAGAAGCUGUGUUGCCGGAAGAUGAAACUGACUUUUUACCUUGACACAGAGCUCACGGCCUCCGUAACCAGGAAGAUUUGGCUAUGUGGAGACACCGUGCCACCUUGCAAAUAUGUGGAGAGGAUGCGUACAGUGGGAAAAGAGACAUAAGAGAAGGUCACAGUGCUGUGCUUGAGGUUAUGAGAGGGACUCUUUGUUAUUCCAGCAGGAUUAGGCCUAUGCUCAUACGACAGAAAAGGACCACUGAGUGAGUUUCUAGCUCUAAAAAGAGGAUGACAGAGAGAAGUCUAAAUGAAAACCUGCAAAGCUCUCCCCACAAAAAGCAGACUUCAGUCUUGUUAGUUGUUUCAUGACAUAGCUCCCUACACAGUGGAACACAUUAAAACAAAAGUCGAGCUAUGGGUCUUUCGUGUCCGGGACUGGUAAGACCCUUCACCUUGCAUGUUAUGCAAAAGGGCACAGAAGCCCAGAGACUCUGUGCUGAAUCAGAGGGAAGAGCAUCACUCCCUGAAUCACCAAUCCCACUUCCCUGAAGCACCUGCCAGUUGCCCAGCCAUGUACUGAAUAAGCAUAGGCCUGCUUAGCUUGUGAGAAGCAAACUUCAAAGUGGAACCCAUGCAGGAGUCAGCUGUUGCAGUUGGGGAAAGGGGUGCAAAAUCCUCUAAAGAAAUCAGAUGCGAACUGAGCAUGAGGAGCACUACGAACUGGAGGUAGCGACCCCAGUGAUGAACUGGAAGUGAACGCAUUUGCUUGUUAAGUUUACACAGCCACGUUCUGCUCCCUGGAGACUGGAUUUCCCCAGCCCUGCCGAGUGCAUCACAAAUUCCAUGCAAAUCAAGAAACCAGCAAUGGGAGAUCAGAGACAAAAAUCUAUAACCCAUCAUCCAAAGAAUGAGAAGGGUUUGUAGGAUUGAACCUUUGAUUUCUGAAGACUAGCCCUUUAGACAGAGAUCUACACCUGAGACAGCACAGAGCUAGCAGAGGCAAUAUACGUGGUCUGCGAUGAUACAACCCCAGAGAGAAAAUGAGCUAUGUGAGCUCUUAAAUGAUGGAAUGCAACUCUAAGCAAGCAUUCAGUUCCAGUCCAUCUCCUCCCACCACUUCCAGCUGUGCGGUAUGAAGUGUAUAUACAAGAAAAAUAGGAAAAGCAAAGACAGGUAUCUUCAAUGAACCACAAUGCCUCCUUUAUAGCCUAUGCUUCUCUUGUUCCCAAUCCUUAUUCCAUGCUGACUGUAUGCCUUUAAUGCCUGCCCUAUCCCCAGUAUAGCAAGCAUAAAAUGAUCAUAUUUCAAAAUGCUGAAAAUUUCAAAAAGUUUAAAAUCUUGACAUUUAAAAAAAAAUUGUCUACAUUUUCCCCAA
This is a long non-coding RNA of Mauremys reevesii (Reeves's turtle), 1717 nucleotides long. RefSeq lists it as uncharacterized. NCBI's taxonomy places the organism in Eukaryota, Metazoa, Chordata, Testudines, Geoemydidae. The transcript has 7 exons. The record is from RefSeq and is a predicted model, not a curated record.